UGGGGAAUUUUGCACAAUGGGGGAAACCCUGAUGCAGCGACGCCGCGUGAUUUAGAAGGCCUUCGGGUUGUAAAAAUCUUUUCUAUGGGAAGAAAAUGACAGUACCAUAGGAAUAAGGACCGGCUAAUUACGUGCCAGCAGCCGCGGUAAUACGUAAGGUCCGAGCGUUGUCCGGAAUCAUUGGGCGUAAAGGGUACGUAGGCGGGUAAGCAAGAUAGAAGUGAAAUCCUAUAGCUCAACUAUAGUAAGCUUUUAAAACUGCUCAUCUUGAGGUAUGGAAGGGAAAGUGGAAUUCCUAGUGUAGCGGUGAAAUGCGCAGAUAUUAGGAGGAAUACCGGUGGCGAAGGCGACUUUCUGGCCAUAACCUGACGCUGAGGUACGAAAGCGUGGGUAGCAAACAGG
RNAcentral lists this ribosomal RNA (402 nucleotides) under bacterium. Its description in RNAcentral is "partial 16S ribosomal RNA". It matches the Rfam family "Bacterial small subunit ribosomal RNA", at positions 355 to 776 of the family's 1533-position model. The record is from RNAcentral.